CAGUAGCCGCGGGAAAACCAGCACCUCGAGUGGUCAGGAGGUUUAUUGGGCCUAAAGCAUCCGUAGCCGGUUGCAUAGGUUUUCGGUUAAAUCUAUGCGCUUAACGUAUAGGCCGCCGAAAAUACUGUGCAGCUAGGGAGUGGGAGAGGUACACGGUACUCGUUAGGAAGGGGUAAAAUCCUUUGAUCUAUUGAUGACCACCUGUGGCGAAGGCGGUGUACCAGAACACGUUCGACGGUGAGGGAUGAAAGCUGGGGGAGCAAACCGGAUUAGAUACCCGGGUAGUCCCUGUCUCUUAUAA
This 301-nucleotide ribosomal RNA is filed under the name uncultured bacterium. Its description in RNAcentral is "partial 16S ribosomal RNA". It matches the Rfam family "Archaeal small subunit ribosomal RNA", at positions 459 to 760 of the family's 1478-position model. The record is from RNAcentral.